RNAcentral lists this ribosomal RNA (429 nucleotides) under Pseudomonadota bacterium. RNAcentral's name for it is "Proteobacteria bacterium partial 16S ribosomal RNA". It matches the Rfam family "Bacterial small subunit ribosomal RNA", at positions 355 to 776 of the family's 1533-position model. Lineage: Bacteria; Pseudomonadati; Pseudomonadota. The record is from RNAcentral.
UGGGGAAUAUUGGACAAUGGGCGAAAGCCUGAUCCAGCCAUGCCGCGUGUGUGAAGAAGGUCUUCGGAUUGUAAAGCACUUUAAGUUGGGAGGAAGGGCAGUAAGCGAAUACCUUGCUGUUUUGACGUUACCGACAGAAUAAGCACCGGCUAACUCUGUGCCAGCAGCCGCGGUAAUACAGAGGGUGCAAGCGUUAAUCGGAAUUACUGGGCGUAAAGCGCGCGUAGGUGGUUCGUUAAGUUGAAUGUGAAAGCCCCGGGCUCAACCUGGGAACUGCAUCCAAAAUUGGCGAGCUAGAGUAGGGCAGAGGGUGGUGGAAUUUCCUGUGUAGCGGUGAAAUGCGUAGAUAUAGGAAGGAACACCAGUGGCGAAGGCGACCACCUGGGCUCAUACUGACACUGAGGUGCGAAAGCGUGGGGAGCAAACAGG